Molecule: small nuclear RNA, 107 nt
Filed under: Microcebus murinus (gray mouse lemur)
Lineage: Eukaryota; Metazoa; Chordata; Mammalia; Primates; Cheirogaleidae
Source: RNAcentral
GUGCUCGCUUCAGCAGCACAUAUACUAAAAUGAGAACAAUACAGAGAAGAUUAGCAGAGUCCCUGUGCAAGGAUGACACAAAUUUUAGAAUUAAAAAGAAAAUUUAU